GGGACCCCCCCCGAGCCCGGCUACGUCAACUACACCAAGCUGCGCUACGUGCUGGAGCCCGGCGAGCCCCCCGAUGAGCCGGAGGACGACAAAAUCUCGCUGCCCUUCGUGGUGACCGACCUGAGCGGCCGCAGCCUGCGGCCCCUGCGCGAGCGAGCCACGGCCCAGGGGCAGUUCCUGACGGUGGAGCAGCUGACGCUGGACUUUGAGUACGUCAUCAACGAGGUGAUCCGCAACGACGCCGCCUGGGCCCGCCAGUUCUGCUCCUUCAGCGACUACGACAUCGUCAUCCUCGAGGUG
Molecule: long non-coding RNA, 300 nt
Organism: Passer montanus (Eurasian tree sparrow)
Lineage: Eukaryota; Metazoa; Chordata; Aves; Passeriformes; Passeridae
Exons: 3
Source: RefSeq, a predicted model, not a curated record